AUUGAACGCUAGCGGCAGGCCUAACACAUGCAAGUCGAACGAGUGGCGGACGGGUGAGUAAUGUAUGGGAAACUGCCCGAUGGAGGGGGAUAACUCCUGGAAACGGUAGCUAAUACCGCAUACAAUCGGAUGUGCCCCGAUGGGAUUAGAUUGUGGGUGAGGUAACGGCUCACCUCGGCGACGAUCCCUAGCUGGUCUGAGAGGAGGACCAGCCACACUGGAACUGAGACACGGUCCAGACUCCUACGGGAGGCAGCAGUGGGGAAUAUUGCACAAUGGGCGCAAGCCUGAUGCAGCCAUGCCGCGUGUAUGAAGAAGGUCUUCGGGUUGUAAAGUACUUUCAGCGGGGAGGCGUUACCCGCAGAAGAAGCACCGGCUAACUCCGUGCCAGCAGCCGCGGUAAUUC
This 406-nucleotide ribosomal RNA is filed under the name uncultured bacterium. RNAcentral's name for it is "partial 16S ribosomal RNA". It matches the Rfam family "Bacterial small subunit ribosomal RNA", at positions 30 to 526 of the family's 1533-position model. The record is from RNAcentral.